Long non-coding RNA from Dioscorea cayenensis subsp. rotundata (Guinea yam), 271 nucleotides. RefSeq lists it as uncharacterized. NCBI's taxonomy places the organism in Eukaryota, Viridiplantae, Streptophyta, Magnoliopsida, Dioscoreales, Dioscoreaceae. The record is from RefSeq and is a predicted model, not a curated record. The transcript is spliced from 4 exons.
UACCUUCACAACCUCAUCUUGGUUUUCAUCCAAUGGCAGAAUAUAGUCAGGAAUGUCCUGUUUCUGAUCUGCAUCACCAGACGGUCCAUGGUGCAACUCAGCUAAGUCAGGGAUUCUCUAAUACCGACAUGCAUUCGCAACCAUUUUUUGGGAGUUCCCACCUGAGCCAGAGGACAACAGAACGAGAUCGUCGAGGCAUUUAACAUUCUCUUUCCGGAUCUACAAGAAGACAAUUAUGUUUUCGGAGUUUAUAUCGAGAGCAGUCUUCCUU